Non-coding RNA from Aspergillus fijiensis CBS 313.89, 99 nucleotides. NCBI's taxonomy places the organism in Eukaryota, Fungi, Ascomycota, Eurotiomycetes, Eurotiales, Aspergillaceae. The record is from the annotation of a RefSeq genome assembly.
GUCCUCGUGGCCAAGUUGGUUAAGGCUUCACGCUUAUAAUACGAAGACAUUUCAUGUAUCGUAUCGUGACGAUCGGCGGUUCGAGCCCGCCCGGGGACA